AGAGUGUAAAAACUCCCAAACCCUUUGUGAACAUACCACUGUUGCCUCGGCGGACCUACCCGGUAGCUACCCUGUAGCUACCCUGUAGCCGCCGGCGGACCACCAAACUCUGAUUAUGUAGAUAUCUGAGCGUACUUUUAAAUAAGUCAAAACUUUCAACAACGGAUCUCUUGGUUCUGGCAUCGAUGAAGAACGCAGCGAAAUGCGAUAAGUAAUGUGAAUUGCAGAAUUCAGUGAAUCAUCGAAUCUUUGAACGCACAUUGCGCCCAUUAGUACUCUAGUGGGCAUGCCUGUUCGAGCGUCAUUACGACCCUUAAGCCUAGCUUAGUAUUGGGAACCUACGUGCGGCAGCUACCCUGUAGCUACCCUGUAGCUCCUUAAAGACAACGGCGGAGACGUGGAGUCCUCUGAGCUUAGUAACUUUUCUAGCUUCUGAGGGCGCCGCGGCCCCUGCCGUAAAACCCCAACUUU
RNAcentral lists this ribosomal RNA (471 nucleotides) under Ascomycota sp. Its description in RNAcentral is "eukaryotic LSU rRNA". The stretch from base 151 to 304 matches the Rfam family "5.8S ribosomal RNA". Lineage: Eukaryota; Fungi; Ascomycota. The record is from RNAcentral.